UGUGCUUGGUGUAGGGUCUCACUGU
This 25-nucleotide non-coding RNA is filed under the name Mus musculus (house mouse). Lineage: Eukaryota; Metazoa; Chordata; Mammalia; Rodentia; Muridae. The record is from RNAcentral.